UACGUAGGGUGCGAGCGUUGUCCGGAAUUACUGGGCGUAAAGAGCUCGUAGGUGGUUUGUCGCGUUGUUCGUGAAAUCUCACGGCUUAACUGUGAGCGUGCGGGCGAUACGGGCAGACUUGAGUACUGCAGGGGAGACUGGAAUUCCUGGUGUAGCGGUGGAAUGCGCAGAUAUCAGGAGGAACACCUGUGGCGAAAAGCGGCUCACUGGGCCGAUACUGACGCUGAGGAGCGAAAGCGUGGGGAGCGAACAGG
RNAcentral lists this ribosomal RNA (254 nucleotides) under uncultured bacterium. Its description in RNAcentral is "partial 16S ribosomal RNA". It matches the Rfam family "Bacterial small subunit ribosomal RNA", at positions 524 to 776 of the family's 1533-position model. The record is from RNAcentral.